RNAcentral lists this ribosomal RNA (627 nucleotides) under uncultured archaeon. Its description in RNAcentral is "bacterial SSU rRNA". It matches the Rfam family "Archaeal small subunit ribosomal RNA", at positions 1 to 637 of the family's 1478-position model. The record is from RNAcentral.
UUCCGGUUGAUCCUGCCGGACCCGACUGCUAUCAGAGUGAGAUUAAGCCAUGCGAGUUAACGUAGCAAUACGUGGCGCACGGCUCAGUAACACGUAGUCAACAUGCCCAGAGGACGUGGAUAACCUCGGGAAACUGAGUCUAAACCGCGAUAAGUGAGGAUUUCUGGAAUGGUUCCUGACUAAAAUCUAUAUGGCCUCUGGAUUGGACUGCGGCCGAUCAGGCUGUUGGUGAGGUAAUGGCCCACCAAACCUGUAACCGGUACGGGCUCUGAGAGGAGGAGCCCGGAGAUGGGCACUGAGACAAGGGCCCAGGCCCUAUGGGGCGCAGCAGGCGCGAAACCUCUGCAAUAGGCGAAAGCCUGACAGGGUUACUCUGAGUGGCUUUCGCUAAGAAAGUCUUUUGGCACCUCUAAAAAGGGUGCAGAAUAAGGGGUGGGCAAGUCUGGUGUCAGCCGCCGCGGUAAUACCAGCACCCCGAGUGGUCGGGACGAUUAUUGGGCCUAAAGCAUCCGUAGCCGGUUCUGCAAGUCCCCCGUUAAAUCCAGCUGCUCAACAGAUGGGCCGCGGAGGAUACUACAGAGCUAGGAGGCAGGAGAGGCAAGCGGUACUCAGUGGGUAGGGGUAAAA